Molecule: small RNA, 64 nt
Filed under: Arabidopsis thaliana (thale cress)
Lineage: Eukaryota; Viridiplantae; Streptophyta; Magnoliopsida; Brassicales; Brassicaceae
Description: ATSL103180
Source: RNAcentral
UUUCGUUAAAAAGAUACAACCAUUUAGAAGUGCUUACGAAAGAAACGACACAACCGUAAAUAUU